AUACGGUCAUAUCACGUUGAAACACUGAUUCUCGUACGAUCACAAAAGUUAAGCAACGUCGAGCUUGGUUAGUACCUAGAUGGGUUCCCGCUUGAGAAUACCAGCUGCUGUAAG
Non-coding RNA from Acanthosepion pharaonis, 114 nucleotides. The record is from the annotation of a GenBank genome assembly. NCBI's taxonomy places the organism in Eukaryota, Metazoa, Mollusca, Cephalopoda, Sepiida, Sepiidae.